Molecule: long non-coding RNA, 1084 nt
Organism: Boleophthalmus pectinirostris (great blue-spotted mudskipper)
Lineage: Eukaryota; Metazoa; Chordata; Actinopteri; Gobiiformes; Gobiidae
Exons: 3
Source: RefSeq, a predicted model, not a curated record
GGAAAACCAAUAGACCAACAGAAGAUCCAACUGCUGCUGAUGACUGUGAAACUCCAGAGUGUGAAAACGAGCGUCUUGCUGCAGUGAAGGAGUGUGCAGACUGCACUUACCAGAGCCUCUGUGUGGACAACAUGGACCCAAACCAAACCUACACUUCCAUCCGAGACCAAGUGAUUUAAUGGACAUUUAUUAGGCUAGAAUUGUCAAAUCUUGUCAAAAUCCUGGUGUAUUAUGGAUAUUGGAGGGGAGUAAUCUGAAUGUAGCUCAUGUCAUUACACUUUUACUACUGUACAGGCUGAAGGGCAAAAAUACCCACAGACAAGGGUGGAAAGUAACAAAUUACAUUUCCUCCCAUUACUGUAAUUGAGUAGUUUUUUAUGAAUAAUUUGUAAUUUUUUAAGUAGUUUUUGAAAUAAAUGUUACUUCAUGACAUUGGAACACACCGUCCUUACUGAGUAAAAUCAGAUUGAUAGAGAAAAAAAAGAAAUGCGAGAAAAAAAAAAAGUGCUGGAAAUGUAAAGUGCACAUUUCCUCUAUAGAAUGUACAGUUAUUGUACAGAACCAUCAGUCUGUUUUGGAUCAACUUGGAUGAGGCUGGUGCCGAGCCACAGAUCGAGGUCGUCAUGGACGAUAUUCAAGAAGAAGGUGCAUUGAAUAUUUCUGAAGAGGAAAAUGAAGGAUGGAAGUGAAGGGAGCAUGGCACUUUUUCAUUUCUUGUAUCAUCAGUCAGUGUGCAAUGUGUGCAACAUUUUCAUUUUGCAUACUUUGAUUUUGGUUUAAUUUUCUGUCUUGUUUAUUGUAGUGUUGUUUAAACCAGGUCUAAACCAGGACUAAUGUUGGACUUGAGAGAGAGAGAGGGAGAACCCCGAACUUGUGGAGCAGGGUGUCUGCAAAGCAUAAUCGAGCCAUGGCUGCACUUCGCCCCAUGGACGGGGAGCUCUGUGCCGGUCCUUUCACCUGCAGUCACCUGACAGUCUCUCACCUCUGGGCCCAUCCCGACAUUGAGUCCUGGUUGAGUUCUGGUUUAGUCCUGAAUUAGUCCUGGUUCAGUCCCGGUUCAGUCCCGGUUCAGUCCUGGUUCAGU